This is a small nucleolar RNA of Piliocolobus tephrosceles (Ugandan red Colobus), 103 nucleotides long. RefSeq annotates it as small nucleolar RNA U13. The transcript has a single exon. The record is from RefSeq and is a predicted model, not a curated record. NCBI's taxonomy places the organism in Eukaryota, Metazoa, Chordata, Mammalia, Primates, Cercopithecidae.
AUCCUGUUGGAGUUCAUAAGCAUGAUCGUUGGGUUUUCACGUGCAUGUGUGAGAUGUGACUCCCUCAAGCCUGUUACAACAUCAACACAUUACCAGUCUGACA